RNAcentral lists this ribosomal RNA (459 nucleotides) under uncultured bacterium. Its description in RNAcentral is "partial 16S ribosomal RNA". It matches the Rfam family "Bacterial small subunit ribosomal RNA", at positions 338 to 795 of the family's 1533-position model. The record is from RNAcentral.
CCUACGGGUGGCAGCAGUGAGGAAUAUUGGUCAAUGGGCGCGAGCCUGAACCAGCCAAGUCGCGUGAGGGAAGACGGUCCUAUGGAUUGUAAACUUCUUUUGUAGGGGAGCAAAAGACGCCACGCGUGGCGUUCCGAGAGUACCCGAAGAAAAAGCAUCGGCUAACUCCGUGCCAGCAGCCGCGGUAAUACGGAGGAUGCGAGCGUUAUCCGGAUUUAUUGGGUUUAAAGGGUGGGCAGGCGGAAGAUCAAGUCAGCGGUAAAAUUUAGGGGCUCAACCUCUUAGAGCCGUUGAAACUGGUUGUCUUGAGUGAGUGAGAGGUAUGCGGAAUGCGUGGUAUAGCGGUGAAAUGCAUAGAUAUCACGCAGAACUCCGAUUGCGAAGGCAGCAUACCGGCGCGCAACUGACGCUGAUGCACGAAAGUGUGGGUAUCGAACAGGAUUAGAUACCCUAGUAGUC